This 466-nucleotide ribosomal RNA is filed under the name uncultured bacterium. Its description in RNAcentral is "partial 16S ribosomal RNA". It matches the Rfam family "Bacterial small subunit ribosomal RNA", at positions 28 to 507 of the family's 1533-position model. The record is from RNAcentral.
GAUGAACGCUGGCGGCGUGCUUAACACAUGCAAGUCGAACGACGACGCCCAGCUUGCUGGGUGGUUUAGUGGCGAACGGGUGAGUAACACGUGAGUAACUUGCCCUUAACUCUGGGAUAAGCCUGGGCAACUGGGUCUAAUACCGGAUAGGAGCGUCCACCGCAUGGUGGGAGUUGGAGAGAUUUAUCGGUUUUGGAUGGACUCGCGGCCUAUCAGCUUUUUGGUGAGGUAAUGGCUCACCAAGGCGACGACGGGUAGCCGGCAUGAGAGUGUGACCGGCGACACUGGGACUGAGACACGGCCCAGACUCCUACGGGAGGCAGCAGUGGGGAAUAUUGCACAAUGGGCGCAAGCCUGAUGCAGCGACGCCGCGUGAGGGAUGACGGCCUUCGGGUUGUAAACCGCUUUCAGUAGGGAAGAAGCGAAAGUGACGGUACCUGCAGAAGAAGCACCGGCUAACUACGUG